UAUUAAAGAAUUUCGGUUAUCGAUGGGGAUGCGUUCCAUUAGUUAGUUGGCGGGGUAACGGCCCACCAAGACGACGAUGGAUAGGGGUUCUGAGAGGAAGGUCCCCCACAUUGGAACUGAGACACGGUCCAAACUCCUACGGGAGGCAGCAGUGAGGAAUAUUGGUCAAUGGACGAGAGUCUGAACCAGCCAAGUAGCGUGAAGGAUGACUGCCCUAUGGGUUGUAAACUUCUUUUAUAUGGGAAUAAAACAGGGUAUGCAUACCCUCUUGUAUGUACCAUAUGAAUAAGGAUCGGCUAACUCCGUGCCAGCAGCCGCGGUAAUACGGAGGAUCCGAGCGUUAUCCGGAUUUAUUGGGUUUAAAGGGAGCGUAGGUGGAUUGUUAAGUCAGUUGUGAAAGUUUGCGGCUCAACCGUAAAAUUGCAGUUGAAACUGGCAGUCUUGAGUACAGUAGAGGUGGGCGGAAUUCGUGGUGUAGCGGUGAAAUGCUUAGAUAUCACGAAGAACUCCGAUUGCGAAGGCAGCUCACUGGACUGCAACUGACACUGAGGCUCGAAAGUGUGGGUAUCAAACAGGAUUAGAUACCCUGGUAGUCCACACAGUAAACGAUGAAUACUCGCUGUUUGCGAUAUACGGUAAGCG
This 642-nucleotide ribosomal RNA is filed under the name uncultured bacterium. RNAcentral describes it as "bacterial SSU rRNA". It matches the Rfam family "Bacterial small subunit ribosomal RNA", at positions 199 to 845 of the family's 1533-position model. The record is from RNAcentral.